RNAcentral lists this ribosomal RNA (219 nucleotides) under uncultured fungus. RNAcentral's name for it is "partial small subunit ribosomal RNA". The stretch from base 51 to 219 matches the Rfam family "Eukaryotic small subunit ribosomal RNA", at positions 694 to 864 of the family's 1831-position model. The record is from RNAcentral. Lineage: Eukaryota; Fungi.
GGUACGAUGCACCCGAUCCGACCGAGCAAUCGGCCGUGUAUUGGAGAGCAUCUGCCAUCCUUCUAGUUAUUAGCUGUACUUUACUGUGCGGUUAGUACUCUAGAUCAUUUACUUUGAAAAAAUUAGAGUGUUUAAAGCAGGCUUGCGCUAUGAAUACAUUAGCAUGGAAUAAUAAUUUAGGACUUUGCUCCUAUUUUAUUGGUUUCUAGGGGUGAAGUA